RNAcentral lists this transfer RNA (71 nucleotides) under Timema californicum (California timema). RNAcentral describes it as "tRNA-Leu". Lineage: Eukaryota; Metazoa; Arthropoda; Insecta; Phasmatodea; Timematidae. The record is from RNAcentral.
ACUACUUUGGCAGAAGUAAAAUAGUGUAAUAGAUUUAGAAUCUAUAAAUGUAAUGUUAAUUACAAGUAGUA